GAUCCUGGCUCAGAACGAACGCUGGCGGCGUGGAUAAGACAUGCAAGUCGAACGAGAGAAUUGCUAGCUUGCUAAUAAUUCUCUAGUGGCGCACGGGUGAGUAACACGUGAGUAACCUGCCCCCGAGAGCGGGAUAGCCCUGGGAAACUGGGAUUAAUACCGCAUAGUAUCGAAAGAUUAAAGCAGCAAUGCGCUUGGGGAGUGGGCGUCGCGGCCUAUUAGUUAGUUUGGUUGGAGGUAACGGGCU
Molecule: ribosomal RNA, 247 nt
Filed under: uncultured bacterium
Lineage: Bacteria
Description: partial 16S ribosomal RNA
Rfam family: Bacterial small subunit ribosomal RNA
Source: RNAcentral